This 70-nucleotide transfer RNA is filed under the name Rousettus madagascariensis (Madagascan rousette). Its description in RNAcentral is "tRNA-Thr". The record is from RNAcentral. Lineage: Eukaryota; Metazoa; Chordata; Mammalia; Chiroptera; Pteropodidae.
GUCUCUGUAGUAUAUUAAUUACGCUGGUCUUGUAAACCAGAAAAGGGGAAUGAAUCUUCCCCCAAAGACU